UGCAGCAGUGGGGAAUGUUGGGCAAUGGGCAAGGCGCCUGAUCCAGCCAUAUAGAGUGAAUCAGCGUCAAUGAAAUUGACGUAAAGAAAAAGAAAAGUUCUGGAGGUAAGUAAAAUAAUGAUACAACUUACCUAUAAAUCCUGACCAACCUCGUGCCAGCAGUCGCGGUAAGACGAAGAGGAUAAGCGUAAUUCAUUAUAUCUAGGUGUAAAGGGUCUGUAGGCGGCGUAAUGCUAGAGUGUAACAUAGGAAAAGAGGAAUUAAGUAAGUAGGGAUAAAAUCCAAUGAGAUAUUUAGGAAGGACAUGCGAAGGCAUCUUUCUAUUAACACUGACGCUAAGGGACUAAAGUGUGGGUAGCGAAAAGGAUUAGAUACCCCAUUAGUCCACA
RNAcentral lists this ribosomal RNA (389 nucleotides) under Batkoa obscura. Its description in RNAcentral is "SSU rRNA". It matches the Rfam family "Bacterial small subunit ribosomal RNA", at positions 347 to 799 of the family's 1533-position model. Lineage: Eukaryota; Fungi; Entomophthoromycota; Entomophthoromycetes; Entomophthorales; Batkoaceae. The record is from RNAcentral.